AUGCACCCCAAAUUUUCCUUUUCUUUCCCCAAAUCCUUUUCAGAACCCAAAAUCCCGAAUUCUAACCCCAAAUUUUCCUUUUCUUCCCAAAUCCCCUCCCUGCACCCCAAAUUUUCCUUUUCUUUCCCCAAAUCCUUUUCAGAACCCAAAAUCCCAAAUUCUAACCCCAAAUUUUUCCUUUUCUUCCCCCAAAUUCUUACCAGAACCCAAAUUCUAACCCCAAAUUUUCCUUUUCUUCCCCCAAAUCCUUCCCAGAACCCCAAAUUUUCCUUUUCUUUCCCCAAACCCUUUCGAGAACCCCAAAUCCUCCUUUUCUUCCCCCAAACCCUUUCCAGAACCCAAAAUUCUCAUUUUCUUCCCUCAAAUCCUUUUCAGAACCCCAAAUUCUCAUUUUCUUCCCCCAAAUCCCCUCCCUGCAUCCCAAAUUUUCCUUUUCUUCCCCCAAAUCCUUUUCAGAAUCCAAAAUCCCAAAUUCUAACCCCAAAUUCUCCUUUUCUUCCCCCAAAUCCUUUUCAGAACCCCAAAUUUUCCUUUUCUUCCCCCAAAUCCUUUUCAGAACCCAAAAUCCCAAAUUCUAACCCCAAAUUUUCCUUUUCUUCCCUCAAAUCCUUUCCAGAACCCCAAAUUCUCAUUUUCUUCCCCCAAAUCCCAAAUUCUAACCCCAAAUUUUCCUUUUCUUCCCCCAAACCCUUUCCAGAACCCCAAAUUCUCUUUUUCUUCCCCCAAAUCUCCUCCCUGCACCCCAAAUUUUCCUUUUCUUGCCCCAAAUCCUUUUCAGAAUCCCAAAUUUUCCUUUUCUUCCCCCAAACCCUUUCGAGAACCCCAAAUCCUCCUUUUCUUCCCCCAAAUCCCCUCCCCGCACCCCAAAUCCUCCUUUUCUUCCCCCAAAUCCUUCCCAGAACCCCAAAUCCCCUCCCUGAACCCCAAAUCCCCUCAAUCUCCCCCAAAUUCUCAUUUUCUUCUCCCAAACCCCCUCAAACUCCCCCAAAUCCUCUCCCCGCACCCCAAAUUUUCCUUUUCUCCCCCCAAACCCCUCCCAGAACCCCAAAUCCCCUCAAUCUCCCCCCAAAUCCCUGACUUCCACCCCAAAUCUUCAUUUUCUUCCCCCAAAUCAUUUCCAGAACCCCAAAUCCCCUCCCCGCACCCCAAAUCCCCUCCCCGCACCCCAAACCCCCCCGAUCUCCCCGAAAUCCUCCUUUUCUUCCCCCAAACCCUUUCGAGGACCCCAAAUCCUCCUUUUCCUCCCCCAAAUCCCCUCCCCGCACCCCAAAUCCUCCUUUUCUCCCCCCAAACCCUUUCGAGAACCCCAAAUUUUCCUUUUCUUCCCCCAAACCCUUUCCAGAACCCCAAAUUUUCAUUUUCUUCCCCCAAAUCCCCUCCCCGCACCCCAAACCCCCCCGAUCUCCCCCAAAUUUUCCUUUUCUCCCCCCAAACCCUUUCGAGAACCCCAAAUUUUCCUUUUCUUCCCCCAAAUCCCCUCAAGCCCCCCUCCCCUCCCCAUUCCCCUCACGCCCCCUCCCCACCCUCCCCCCGCCCCCAAUCCCCCCCAAACCCCCUCCCAUCCCCCCCAAACCCCCUCCCAUCCCCCCCAAACCCCCCCCAAUCCCCCCCAAACCCCCCUCCCCACCCCAAACCCCCCUCCCCACCCCCUCCCGCCCCCCAAAACCCCCUCAGGACCCCCAAAAUCCCCCCGAUCCCCCCUCAGGCCGGGCCCCGCCGCCAUUUUACCGCGGCCGCUCCGCUCCCCGCGCGCGGGGCACGCCGGGUAGCGCCGCCUACCGGGGGGGAGGACCCGCGCCGCGCGCGCCGUUGCCAGGCGACGCCGCCGCCGUGGCCACGCCCCC
Taeniopygia guttata (zebra finch) is the source of this 1844-nucleotide long non-coding RNA. Lineage: Eukaryota; Metazoa; Chordata; Aves; Passeriformes; Estrildidae. The record is from Ensembl.